AAACUACAGGAUGCUACAUCCAUGUAAUGCAUAAAGUUAAACAUUUUAGGCACAUUGGCCUUGAAUUCAAUUGUUACCCUGCUAGACAACAUUGAAGUUGAGAUGCGAGUUAUAUGUAAGUUCAGGGCCCUGAAAACAGCAACGUUCAAGUCAUGUAGAUUGUUCACUAGUGCUCUGCUUGUCGACUUUCGACUGAGCGUUGUGCCAAGCGAGGCCUCUAUAGACGUUGACGGAGAAAGUGGCGGUGAGAUAAAUGGUGGCGACGCCUAGACUAGCGGUGAACGCCUUGAAAGCCCAAUCUCCUACUCUGCUUGACAGUCCCAUACUUCUCUCUCUCUCAUACGCCGAUGCUUCGUUCACCUUGACUGUCCUACUCC
This 377-nucleotide unclassified non-coding RNA is filed under the name Hevea brasiliensis (rubber tree). The record is from RNAcentral. Lineage: Eukaryota; Viridiplantae; Streptophyta; Magnoliopsida; Malpighiales; Euphorbiaceae.